UUAUUAAUUGUGAUUAAUUGUGAACUAUGAAAUUAACUGUUGUAAUUGCUAACUGCUAAGCAUUGAGCACAGUGGAAGAGAGAGUGAGAGAAUAUAGAGAAGCAAUUGGAUUAGAACUGAUAGCUAAAUAAAAGAAAAGAAAUCUACAGAAGUGUGUUUUUUUUUUCUUCGUUCAGCAAUUUUCACACUGGUUUUUUAAAGGGCUUUUGUUUGCUCUAUCUCAGCUUUGCCACUCAUUCAAUAAGAAAGGUGCCUCCUUUAUUCCAUGAGGCUAUGGGGUGACAAUAUCGAAGCUCUUCGUAUUGCAUCUGAUUCUUGUAUGGAAGGUGGUUCCUAAGUAUAAUGCUCCAUCUUCGACAAGUCCUAUGGAAGACCAUAUUGAUUAAAGCUAUCCAUUUUCCAACCAUGUCCUAUUUCAUUAUCAGCAGUUUGAAGCUGUUCAUAUGGAUAAACUUGCUGGUCAUGGAGGAUCAAUCUUCCGCAUAACCUGGUCCUCUGAUGGUUCCAAUCUGGUAUCUGUCUCUGAUGAUCAUAGUGCUCGUGUUUGGGUGGUUCAUACUGAAAGAAAUGGUUCUGACAAGCCUGGGUAUUCUAUUGCGCCUGAACUUGAUGGUGUUGUGCUGUUUGGUCACAAUGCCAGAGUUUGGGAUUGCUGUAUUAGUGAUUCUGUAAGCUUUACAAAAUCCUUGUUCAUUUUAUUGUGUCUUCUUUUUUAACAACUUAGGACAAAAGAAAAUAGUUUAUUGACAUUAGUUUAAAGUUCAUUUUAAGUGUUCUUAAAUUUUUUUCUCAAUAUGAAAAUUUUUUACAUAUGUGAAGCUGUUAAAUGAAUAAGAAUUUGUUUUCAUUAUGA
Molecule: long non-coding RNA, 853 nt
Organism: Quercus robur (English oak)
Lineage: Eukaryota; Viridiplantae; Streptophyta; Magnoliopsida; Fagales; Fagaceae
Exons: 4
Source: RefSeq, a predicted model, not a curated record